Molecule: transfer RNA, 64 nt
Filed under: Ruditapes philippinarum (Manila clam)
Lineage: Eukaryota; Metazoa; Mollusca; Bivalvia; Venerida; Veneridae
Description: tRNA-Tyr
Source: RNAcentral
AGUGUUGUGCCAGAUGAAAUGGGUUAUCUUGAUGAGGUAAAAUAUAGGUUAUUCCUUGACACUA